UACGUAGGUGGCAAGCGUUGUCCGGAAUUAUUGGGCGUAAAGCGCGCGCAGGCGGUCUCUUAAGUCUGAUGUGAAAGCCCCCGGCUCAACCGGGGAGGGUCAUUGGAAACUGGGAGACUUGGGUGCAGAAGAGGAGAGUGGAAUUCCAUGUGUAGCGGUGAAAUGCGUAGAUAUAUGGAGGAACACCAGUGGCGAAGGCGGCUCUCUGGUCUGUAACUGACGUUGAGGUGCGAAAGCGUGGGGAGCGAACGGG
RNAcentral lists this unclassified non-coding RNA (253 nucleotides) under Bacilli bacterium. RNAcentral's name for it is "contains 16S-23S intergenic spacer region". It matches the Rfam family "Bacterial small subunit ribosomal RNA", at positions 524 to 776 of the family's 1533-position model. The record is from RNAcentral. Lineage: Bacteria; Bacillati; Bacillota; Bacilli.